GACGAACGCUGGCGGCGUGCUUAACACAUGCAAGUCGAACGGAAAGGCCCUGCUUUUGUGGGGUGCUCGAGUGGCGAACGGGUGAGUAACACGUGAGUAACCUGCCCUUGACUUUGGGAUAACUUCAGGAAACUGGGGCUAAUACCGGAUAGGAGCUCCUGCUGCAUGGUGGGGGUUGGAAAGUUUCGGCGGUUGGGGAUGGACUCGCGGCUUAUCAGCUUGUUGGUGGGGUAGUGGCUUACCAAGGCUUUGACGGGUAGCCGGCCUGAGAGGGUGACCGGCCACAGUGGGACUGAGAUACGGCCCAGACUCCUACGGGAGGCAGCAGUGGGGAAUAUUGCACAAUGGGCGGAAGCCUGAUGCAGCAACGCCGCGUGCGGGAUGACGGCCUUCGGGUUGGAAACCGCUUUCGCCUGUGACGAAGCGUGAGUGACGGUAAUGGGUAAAGAAGCACCGGCUAACUACGUG
RNAcentral lists this ribosomal RNA (468 nucleotides) under uncultured bacterium. Its description in RNAcentral is "partial 16S ribosomal RNA". It matches the Rfam family "Bacterial small subunit ribosomal RNA", at positions 28 to 507 of the family's 1533-position model. The record is from RNAcentral.